Molecule: long non-coding RNA, 1264 nt
Organism: Mustela erminea (ermine)
Lineage: Eukaryota; Metazoa; Chordata; Mammalia; Carnivora; Mustelidae
Exons: 5
Source: RefSeq, a predicted model, not a curated record
AAAAGAACAUCACUGGUGGCAGUGGAAUCCUGGCAGAAGGCAGAAACUGAGGCCAGCUGGCAAAGGCAUGUUUGGGGAACGAAGAACCCCUCGAGGGCCAGGGAGGCAUCAAGUCCACCAAAAGACAAAAAGCAAGCAAACUAGGUUCCGUGGAUCAGCUGGAUCAUUGAAGACUCUCUGGAAGAGGUGAUUCCUGACCUGGAGGCGGUGCUUGGCCUGAAGAGGUCCUCUUAUUGGAGGAGUUGGCCAUCCAUAACUUCUCUCCUCAGCCUGUCCCCGAAACCAACCCAGAGGCAAGCAGCCAGGUCCAAAGUCACACACCUGAGAGCAGAGCAGCUCAAGUUCCAGGCCAGCCUCCCACUCCUCAGAGAGCGGCCUUCACCUUAACUGCACUGCCUUCCUUGAGGCAGAACGUGUGUUCCAAAUGUGUUCACACCCAUGAUGUCACCAGUCCUCCGGCAGCCAUCGGAGGAGGGGCUAGGCGGAUGCACAGGAAGAGGUGACGUUUGGGAGACCUGGUGCCAUUCCCAGAUUUGCUCAGCCCACGGCAUCACGUUGGGAAAAUUAACCCUAUCAAGGAUAUGACCAUUAGACAGACGCUUUCAGGAGACGAGGCACAAAGGGACCAGGGUUCAAGACCACUCCCCCUCAAACCAGGUACGCAGCCUUGAACAAGCUGCUUCAUCCCUGCCUGAGCCGCAGUUCCUCGCCUGCAGAAUGAAGGUGGUGAUGGGUUCACUGUGGUGUGGCCAAGAGAAGCAAAGAAGAGAGCUGGGUAAAGGCCCCAUGUAGCACAGAUGCUGUCUGGCUUUGGUUUUGGAGUCUGGUUUGAAAGAAGGUGCAAAGAUCCUUGAGGAGGGAGAACCUCUCUGCGGCAGGAGGACUGGGCCUUGUGGUGUGGGGGGGAACGGUUUCAGUAUAUCCUCAAGGACUGAGACAUCAUCACUCUCACGCAGCAGUGUCCCCUCGUUUGUGACAUGACCUCUGGAGUGGAAACCACCUCGCCAUGUCCCAAAAGACACCAGCAGACUGUACAGUCACCAUCCACCAAAACACAAGACGAUCCGUGGCCCGUUCCUAGUAGUACACGCUUUCCUGUUCACAUGGCAACUUCCCACACACCUCUGCUCCUGUCCCCGACUCUGUCCUCUCCACCUGACCUCGCCUCCACCUACAUCUCCCCGGGAGCAGCGAGGGGGCCAGGAGGGACUGCCCCAGCAUCACCAGAACAGGGAGAGAAAAGGAAACCAGGACUGACCAAUUU